RNAcentral lists this ribosomal RNA (449 nucleotides) under uncultured bacterium. Its description in RNAcentral is "bacterial SSU rRNA". It matches the Rfam family "Bacterial small subunit ribosomal RNA", at positions 329 to 793 of the family's 1533-position model. The record is from RNAcentral.
UGCCAGACUCCUACGGGAGGCAGCAGUGGGGAAUAUUGGGCAAUGGGCGCAAGCCUGACCCAGCAACGCCGCGUGAAGGAAGAAGGCUUUCGGGUUGUAAACUUCUUUUCUGGGGGACGAACAAAUGACGGUACCCCAGGAAUAAGCCACGGCUAACUACGUGCCAGCAGCCGCGGUAAUACGUAGGUGGCAAGCGUUAUCCGGAUUUAUUGGGUGUAAAGGGCGUGUAGGCGGGAAUGCAAGUCAGAUGUGAAAACUAUGGGCUCAACCCAUAGCCUGCAUUUGAAACUGUAUUUCUUGAGUGCUGGAGAGGCAAUCGGAAUUCCGUGUGUAGCGGUGAAAUGCGUAGAUAUACGGAGGAACACCAGUGGCGAAGGCGGAUUGCUGGACAGUAACUGACGCUGAAGCACGAAAGCGUGGGUAUCGAACAGGAUUAGAUACCCGUGUAC